GUUCUGAUGAUGAUUGCUUUAGUCCUGUUGAGCCAUUUAGCCCAGCACCUGAUCCAGGGAGAAGUGAUGCACUGAGCUCCACUGGUGAUGUACAAAUGCCUUCUCAAUUGACUGCAUCCGAUGAACCCCUUCGGCUAUCUCUCAUGCCUUCUCAGCCAACUGUAACUGAUGAACCGCACACAAUAACUCAAAUGUCUUCUCAGUUGACUGUGACCGAUAAACCUCACCAGU
Molecule: unclassified non-coding RNA, 231 nt
Filed under: Hevea brasiliensis (rubber tree)
Lineage: Eukaryota; Viridiplantae; Streptophyta; Magnoliopsida; Malpighiales; Euphorbiaceae
Source: RNAcentral